GACGAACGCUGGCGGCGUGCUUAACACAUGCCAGUCGAACGGUGAAGCGCCUUCCUUUUUGGUGGGUGUGGAUGAGUGGCGAACGGGUGAGUAACACGUGAGUAACCUGCCCCCUUCUUCUGGAUAACCGCAUGAAAGUGUGGCUAAUACGGGAUAUUCUGGGUCUGUCGCAUGAUGGGUCUGGGAAAGAUAUUGUUUCGGUGGGGGAUGGGCUCGCGGCCUAUCAGCUUGUUGGUGGGGUGAUGGCCUACCAAGGCGGUGACGGGUAGCCGGCCUGAGAGGGUGGACGGUCACACUGGGACUGAGACACGGCCCAGACUCCUACGGGAGGCAGCAGUGGGGAAUAUUGCACAAUGGGCGCAAGCCUGAUGCAGCGACGCCGCGUGAGGGAUGGAGGCCUUCGGGUUGUGAACCUCUUUCGCCAGUGAAGCAGGACUGCCUCGUUUGUGGGUGGGUUGACGGUAGCUGGAUAAGAAGCGCCGGCUAACUACGUG
RNAcentral lists this ribosomal RNA (494 nucleotides) under uncultured bacterium. Its description in RNAcentral is "partial 16S ribosomal RNA". It matches the Rfam family "Bacterial small subunit ribosomal RNA", at positions 28 to 507 of the family's 1533-position model. The record is from RNAcentral.